Caenorhabditis brenneri is the source of this 72-nucleotide non-coding RNA. NCBI's taxonomy places the organism in Eukaryota, Metazoa, Nematoda, Chromadorea, Rhabditida, Rhabditidae. The record is from the annotation of a GenBank genome assembly.
CGCGUUGUAGCCUAGUGGUUAGCGCUGCUGUUUUAGAAAUAUGCAUCGCGGGUUCGAACCCCACUGGGGUCA